AGUCUAGUACUAUAUUUAGUAGUGAAACCAAAUACAUCCUCUAAAAGAAGUUCAUUAUCACACAAGGUAACCAGAUUUUUGAAAUGCUGUAUCUACUUUCUUAUGUCUUGUUUCUCCUUUCAUGUUAUAAAUGUAAUAAAUGUGGGAAAGCUUUUAACCAGACUGCAAACCUCAUUCAGCAUCAGAGACAUCAUAUUGGAGAGAAGUGAUAUGAACAAAAAAACACAGGAACCAAAAUAGAAAAGAGUGACUCUAAAAACGGCAUUUAUCUUUUUGUUUUGAGACAGGGUCUUACUCUGACGCCCAAGCUGGAUUGUAGUGGUGCGAUCUUGGCUCACAGCAACCUUCAACUCUUGGGCUCAAGU
Molecule: long non-coding RNA, 365 nt
Filed under: Pan troglodytes (chimpanzee)
Lineage: Eukaryota; Metazoa; Chordata; Mammalia; Primates; Hominidae
Description: long non-coding RNA NONPTRT013867
Source: RNAcentral